GACGAACGCUGGCGGCGUGCUUAACACAUGCAAGUCGAACGAUGAAGCCCAGCUUGCUGGGUGGAAGAGUGGCGAACGGGUGAGUAACACGUGAGUAACCUGCCCCUGACUCUGGGAUAAGCGCUAGAAAUGGCGUCUAAUUCUGGAUAUGACCUAUCACCGCAUGGUGUGUAGGUGGAAAGAUUUAUCGGUUGGGGAUGGACUCGCGGCCUAUCAGCUUGUUGGUGAGGUAAUGGCUCACCAAGGCGACGACGGGUAGCCGGCCUGAGAGGGUGACCGGCCACACUGGGACUGAGACACGGCCCAGACUCCUACGGGAGGCAGCAGUGGGGAAUAUUGCACAAUGGGCGCAAGCCUGAUGCAGCAACGCCGCGUGAGGGAUGACGGCCUUCGGGUUGUAAACCUCUUUUAGUAGGGAAGAAGCGCAAGUGACGGUACCUGCAGAAAAAGCACCGGCUAACUACGUGCCAGCCGCCGCAGUAA
RNAcentral lists this ribosomal RNA (483 nucleotides) under uncultured bacterium. RNAcentral describes it as "partial 16S ribosomal RNA". It matches the Rfam family "Bacterial small subunit ribosomal RNA", at positions 28 to 523 of the family's 1533-position model. The record is from RNAcentral.